RNAcentral lists this long non-coding RNA (1140 nucleotides) under Heterocephalus glaber (naked mole-rat). Its description in RNAcentral is "lncRNA (ENSHGLG00100048278.1)". Lineage: Eukaryota; Metazoa; Chordata; Mammalia; Rodentia; Bathyergidae. The record is from RNAcentral.
AAAAAUCUAAAAUUUCUUUAAUUUUACAUCUCUGAUGAGUUGUGGAGCAAAAUCUGAGUAUUUCACAAGAACAAAUACUUUGAGGUUAAAGGAGCUCUUAUCCAACAGAAACUAAGUUGGCUGGAGAAAAUUUACCAAGGAAGGUAACAAAUACUAGUCCUAUGCACAGUGUGAUUAAAUGUCAUCUUCUGGAAUUCUUUGAUGUGUUUUAAAAAAAUUACUCUGGCUUCUUUGUGAAAAGUGGAUUGAGGAGAAUUAAAACUAGAGGCCAAAAAGCUGGAUAGGAAGUUGUUAGAGUAAUCCAGAAGAGAGAUAACAAUGGCUUUGAUUAGGAUUGUAACAGUGAGGGUUGAGAGAAGUAAGCAUUUAAGAGCAUCUUACGAAGAAAUGCUGCUAAGAAUUCAUGAUUAAUUGAAUAAAGUAAGACGUAAAGAUUAAUCCUAGAGUAGUAGUUUAAGCAUCUGGUCAUAUUUACUAAAUUAAGGUAUUUUGGAGGAGGAGCAGGUACUUACAGUUUGAGGGUAGGGAGAGGACAUGUUCUAGGACAUGGGACAUCAAGUGGAGAUGUCAAGAAAGUAAUUGAAUAUGCUGAGGAAGUUAAGCCUGGAAACGUGAUCCAGCGUAAAGAUGAUAAUUGAAACAAAGAUUCCCAUGGGACCUAGUAUAGGAUAGAAAGAAAAUGUAACUCCAGUGGACUCCAACAUUUAGCUUUUGUGUGGAUAGGGAGAAGGUAUCAAAAACUAAGUUGUGUAAUAGAGGGGAAAUUUUAUUUUGCCACACAUUUAGGGUGGAUGUCAGAAGGAGAAUGUUAAAAGAAGCUCUUGUCUUUCCAGUAAUCUUGCAUGACUGGCCAUAGCCUUUUAAAUUUUGAUUCCUAUGAAUCUCUCAAGCCAUGUCUCCUAAAGAUUGAACUUAUUCUGUGUUUUAAAACUUAAUGCUCUUUUUCCAAAUUCUAAUGAUAACCAGUUUUUGUGGCCCCCUCCCCUUUUUUUUUGCUACCUGACUCUACUUCAUAGUUAACUUUCUGGAAUAUAUUAGGUUUUCCAUAAUUAGCCUGUUUAAUGUAUUUUUAAUGGCAAAGUUCAGGCCUAGGAAUACAGUGCUUAUAUUUAGGAGCGGUUCUAAGACAAACACACACAC